GGGAAAUUCUCCGGUGCGGUGGCUUUCAUGUUUCAAAACUUCUCCGUUAAAUUUUACCACUUUUUCGCGAAUAAAGACAACUUUUAGCUGACAGCCUGGCCAGAGAUGUUUUUCUCAAAAAUGGAUAGUGACAAGUACUGAGCUAUGGAUCCAUUCAAUUUACCUCACCCCCAUCCCUAUGUGCUAGCAAGACCAAGCAAGAUCUAGAGCAUAUCGAGACCCCGUCACCAGAUAUAUUUCUCCUUGUGCAGUGAAAAGUGCUGAGCUAUGGAUUCACUUCACCUCAACGCCAUCCGCAAUUUCUCGGAUGGAUCAAUUCAUAUUUUGAACUUAUAGAGGCCAUGAUAUAGACCAUGAUCUAUGUAUAGUUGACCAGAGGGACGCGUUAUGACGUUACAGAGCGGGAGCCACAAGAUUGGGGCGAGAGACGGUUAGGUAACCAAGGACAGCAUCAAAGGGAGACAUAAGAACGACA
This is a long non-coding RNA of Lineus longissimus, 475 nucleotides long. RefSeq lists it as uncharacterized. NCBI's taxonomy places the organism in Eukaryota, Metazoa, Nemertea, Pilidiophora, Heteronemertea, Lineidae. The record is from RefSeq and is a predicted model, not a curated record. The transcript is spliced from 4 exons.